UACGUAGGGUGCAAGCGUUGUCCGGAAUUAUUGGGCGUAAAGAGCUCGUAGGCGGUCUGUCACGUCGGCUGUGAAAUCCCGAGGCUCAACCUCGGGUCUGCAGUCGAUACUGGCAAACUAGAGUAUUGCAGGGGAGACUGGAAUUCCUGGUGUAGCGGUGAAAUGCGCAGAUAUCAGGAGGAACACCGGUGGCGAAGGCGGGUCUCUGGGCAAUAACUGACGCUGAGGAGCGAAAGCGUGGGGAGCGAACAGG
RNAcentral lists this ribosomal RNA (253 nucleotides) under uncultured bacterium. RNAcentral describes it as "partial 16S ribosomal RNA". It matches the Rfam family "Bacterial small subunit ribosomal RNA", at positions 524 to 776 of the family's 1533-position model. The record is from RNAcentral.